RNAcentral lists this ribosomal RNA (327 nucleotides) under uncultured eukaryote. RNAcentral's name for it is "partial 18S ribosomal RNA". It matches the Rfam family "Eukaryotic small subunit ribosomal RNA", at positions 1470 to 1796 of the family's 1831-position model. The record is from RNAcentral.
CCCUUAGAUGUUCUGGGCUGCACGCGCGCUACACUGAAGCGUUCAACGAGUAUUCACCUUGCCCGGGAGGGUUGGGUAAUCUUUUGAAAACGCUUCGUGAUGGGGAUAGAUUAUUGCAAUUAUUAAUCUUCAACGAGGAAUUCCUAGUAAGCGCGGGUCAUCAUCCCGCGCUGAAUACGUCCCUGCCCUUUGUACACACCGCCCGUCGCUCCUACCGAUUGAGUGGUCCGGUGAGGCUUUGGGAUCUGAGCGGAAAGAGCGUUUCGCUGUUUCUGCUCGGAAAACUCAGUCGAACCUUAUCAUUUAGAGGAAGGAGAAGUCGUAACA